UAAGUUAGUAGUGAAAGCGUUCGGCUUAACCGGAUAUACAUUACUAAAACUGCUUUGACUAGAGAAUGAGAGAGGUAGCUAGAAUUCCUUGUGUAGGAGUGAAAUCCGUAGAUAUAAGGAGGAAUACCGAUGGCGUAGGCAGGCUACUGGCUCAUUUCUGACACUAAGGCACGAAAGCGUGGGGAGCGACCGGGAUUAGAUACCCCGUUAGUCCACGCCGUAAACGAUGGAUGCUA
This 236-nucleotide ribosomal RNA is filed under the name uncultured Candidatus Saccharibacteria bacterium. RNAcentral describes it as "partial 16S ribosomal RNA". It matches the Rfam family "Bacterial small subunit ribosomal RNA", at positions 584 to 818 of the family's 1533-position model. Lineage: Bacteria; Candidatus Saccharimonadota. The record is from RNAcentral.